UUUCCUUCCUUCCACCGACAUGGACGUUCUGAUUCCUCACCGCCAUUGCACUCCUUCACCGUUCUUCGCAUCUCCGGUGGCCAUGGUGCUCGUGCUGUCUUGUAAUGCCAGCUGUAAUCUCAUCUUCUUCCUUCCCUGUCGCUGAUGAUCGCUGCUGUGGUGGAGGUUUUGUUGAAGUCACUGUUUUUUUUUUUUUUUUACUCUGGGUGCUGCCAUCGGAGAGUGUGAGUGGCAAAACUCCCUCCUUAUUCCUGCUUUGUCUGUGCGUUGCUGCGUGUAUGCUGCCAUGUUUUCGUGAUUCUUUCCCCUGCUUCCGUCGAUUUCGUUCUGUUCCCUUUCUUUGCUGUUGCUGAUUCAGGAGUUUGGCAAGGUCACGGACUCAUUUUGUUUCCCGUGAGGCAUCACUGUUGGACUUUCUUCUUUCCCUAUUCAGCAUCCAAGUUUCCUCUUCUUCUCUUUUGUGAUGUUGGUGAUUUAAGGGUAAUUGAAAGAAGGGUAGCUCGAUUAGAGUUGAAAGAAGUGACUUUUGAGCUUUGAAGGUAUUAUAGAUAGCGUCGCUGAUAUUGUACAUCCUGCUUUCCAAUGAGGAAAUUUCUACUGAGCUUAGUGGAGAUUUGUUCUGUAAAUAUUUUCUAUUGAUGUAAAUCUAAAUUUAUGAAUUAUGUCAUGAAAAACAUGAUUAGGUGCUCUACAUAAAUUAUGAUUAGGGUCCUGAUUCUCUUUGUUAUAUUGUCUAUCUAUUGGUGAGAAGUAAAGCUCCAUAUUACUAGUUAUAAAUUGUAAAAUUUCUGUUGUAAAGAUUUUGGAGAGAUCUUACUUAUAAGGGAGGUAUUGUCAUA
Molecule: long non-coding RNA, 839 nt
Organism: Prosopis cineraria
Lineage: Eukaryota; Viridiplantae; Streptophyta; Magnoliopsida; Fabales; Fabaceae
Exons: 3
Source: RefSeq, a predicted model, not a curated record